AUGCCGUCUGGUCAGGAGGAGCAGCGGCACAGGACGGUGAGGUCGGAGCCGCCGAAGCGGCCCGCGGGGCGGACCAAGUUCCAGGAGACGCGCCACCCGCUGUACCGCGGCGUGCGCCAGCGGGGGCCCGCCGGGCGGUGGGUCUGCGAGGUGCGCGUGCUCGGGAUGAGGGGCUCCAGGCUCUGGCUCGGCACCUUCGUCACCGCCGAGAUGGCGGCGCGCGCCCACGACGCCGCCGUGCUCGCGCUCUCCGGCCGCAAAGCCUGCCUCAACUUCGCCGACUCCGCCUGGCGGAUGCUGCCUGUGCUCGCGGCCGGCUCCUUCGGCUUCGGCAGCGCGCGGGAGAUCAAGACCGCCGUCGCCGUCGCCGUCCUCGCGUUCCAGCGGCAGCAGAUCGUUCUUCCAGCCGCGUGCCCGGCGGCGGAGCCGGCCGUCGCCCCGAGCGGCGCGCUGUUCUCCAUGUCGUCAGGCGACUUGCUGGAGCUCGACGACGAGGAGUGGUUUGGCGGCAUGGUUGCCGGGUCGUACUACGAGAGCUUGGCGCAGGGGAUGCUCGUGGAGCCGCCGGACGCCGGAGCCUGGCGAGAGGACAGCGAGCACAGCGGCGUGGCGGAGACGCAGACGCCGUUGUGGAGCUAA
This 639-nucleotide ribosomal RNA is filed under the name Triticum aestivum (bread wheat). RNAcentral describes it as "partial small subunit ribosomal RNA". The record is from RNAcentral. Lineage: Eukaryota; Viridiplantae; Streptophyta; Magnoliopsida; Poales; Poaceae.